GUAGCCUACGGGACGUAGCAGUGGGGAAUAUUGCACAAUGGGCGAAAGCCUGAUGCAGCAACGCCGCGUGAAGGAAGAAGGUCUUCGGAUCGUAAACUUCUGUCCUUGGGGAAGAUAAUGACGGUACCCUUGGAGGAAGCCCCGGCUAACUACGUGCCAGCAGCCGCGGUAAUACGUAGGGGGCAAGCGUUAUCCGGAAUUAUUGGGCGUAAAGAGUGCGUAGGUGGUUACUUAAGCGCGGGGUUUAAGGUAAUGGCACAACCAUUGUUCGCCCUGCGAACUGGGUUACUGGAGU
Molecule: ribosomal RNA, 295 nt
Filed under: uncultured bacterium
Lineage: Bacteria
Description: partial 16S ribosomal RNA
Rfam family: Bacterial small subunit ribosomal RNA
Source: RNAcentral